UAACGAAAAGGGCAAACUCUUUGAAAAAAGGGGACGCAAAGCUUAGGGUCUAAAGCCGCCGAGGCCAUGAUCGCCUGGCUGCCGAU
RNAcentral lists this non-coding RNA (86 nucleotides) under Sediminibacillus halophilus. RNAcentral describes it as "c-di-GMP sequence". It matches the Rfam family "c-di-GMP-I riboswitch aptamer". From Rfam's summary of the family: GEMM was predicted in a large-scale screen for bacterial structured RNA regulatory elements. The record is from RNAcentral. Lineage: Bacteria; Bacillati; Bacillota; Bacilli; Caryophanales; Bacillaceae.